UGCAGUCGAGCGAUGGAUUAAGAGCUUGCUCUUAUGAAGUUAGCGGCGGACGGGUGAGUAACACGUGGGUAACCUGCCCAUAAGACUGGGAUAACUCCGGGAAACCGGGGCUAAUACCGGAUAAUAUUUUGAACUGCAUGGUUCGAAAUUGAAAGGCGGCUUCGGCUGUCACUUAUGGAUGGACCCGCGUCGCAUUAGCUAGUUGGUGAGGUAACGGCUCACCAAGGCAACGAUGCGUAGCCGACCUGAGAGGGUGAUCGGCCACACUGGGACUGAGACACGGCCCAGACUCCUACGGGAGGCAGCAGUAGGGAAUCUUCCGCAAUGGACGAAAGUCUGACGGAGCAACGCCGCGUGAGUGAUGAAGGCUUUCGGGUCGUAAAACUCUGUUGUUAGGGAAGAACAAGUGCUAGUUGAAUAAGCUGGCACCUUGACGGUACCUAACCAGAAAGCCACGGCUAACUACGUGCCAGCAGCCGCGGUAAUACGUAGGUGGCAAGCGUUAUCCGGAAUUAUUGGGCGUAAAGCGCGCGCAGGUGGUUUCUUAAGUCUGAUGUGAAAGCCCACGGCUCAACCGUGGAGGGUCAUUGGAAACUGGGAGACUUGAGUGCAGAAGAGGAAAGUGGAAUUCCAUGUGUAGCGGUGAAAUGCGUAGAGAUAUGGAGGAACACCAGUGGCGAAGGCGACUUUCUGGUCUGUAACUGACACUGAGGCGCGAAAGCGUGGGGA
Molecule: ribosomal RNA, 729 nt
Filed under: Bacillus thuringiensis
Lineage: Bacteria; Bacillati; Bacillota; Bacilli; Caryophanales; Bacillaceae
Description: bacterial SSU rRNA
Rfam family: Bacterial small subunit ribosomal RNA
Source: RNAcentral